CUCAGCAUAUGAGCAGCUCCCUUUCCUGAACCCUCACAAGGUCUAUAAUUUCUCACUUGAACCAAAGAGUCUUCUUUGUUCACUCAUGCUCCUGUGACAGCCAUGGACACUCUGCUUUUCUGGCUGACAGCCACAAAAUUUGCAACACACACAUAAAAGUGAUCAGCUACAACACCGACUAGGGGAGAUAAUAAAGAGAACCAGCAGCUUCUCUGAGUGUUGCAGUACUGCUUGUACCCUGAAUUGAGGAGGCACUCUAUUGAACAUAGUAAAAACUAAGAAUGACUGGGAUUUCACGUGAUGUACAAGGGAAGUAUCAAUGCAGUGUCCUUGGUGGGGACCUGGGGUGACGUUCACAGAUGAACAAAUAUAGUGAGAGCAAAAUUUUUGUUUGUAUUGUGCAGACCUACUCCAGGAGAAGGAGAAAGCUGACUUCACUUUUUCCACCAUUCAGGGAAGGACUGUCUGAAAUGGAAGCUGAGUACACCUUUCUACCUAAGAGAAAACUCUCUUGUAAAUAGGGAGGACACUUAUAUUUUAUGACUUACUCUUUAAUUUUCCAAAGCCCCAA
Molecule: long non-coding RNA, 571 nt
Organism: Melospiza melodia melodia
Lineage: Eukaryota; Metazoa; Chordata; Aves; Passeriformes; Passerellidae
Exons: 4
Source: RefSeq, a predicted model, not a curated record